This 468-nucleotide small RNA is filed under the name Pongo abelii (Sumatran orangutan). RNAcentral describes it as "retained intron". The record is from RNAcentral. Lineage: Eukaryota; Metazoa; Chordata; Mammalia; Primates; Hominidae.
CAGCUACUCAGGAGGCUGAGGCAGGAGAAUCGCUUGAACUCAGGAGGCGGAGGUUGCAGUGAGCCAAGAUCACGUCACUGCACUCCAGCCUGGGCAACAGAGUGAGGCUCCAUCUCAAAAAAAACAAAAGAAAAGAAAAUAUGCCCUCUACCUUCUGAGCCUGAGGAGAAAAAAAAGAAAAUAUGCUCUGUUGUUCUGCCCCUCAGAUUUAUUUUCGUGUUUUUGUAGGAUCAGACAAAGGUGAAAAUGAAGCAAUGGAAUCCUCUGGGAAGCGGGCCCCUCAGUGCUACCCCAGUUCCGUCAACUCUGCCAGGACUGUGAUGCUGUUCAACCUUGGCAGUGCUUACUGCCUGAGGAGCGAAUAUGACAAAGCCCGAAAGUGUCUCCACCAGGCGGCUUCAAUGAUCCAUCCUAAAGAGGUGCCCCCUGAGGCCAUCUUGCUGGCAGUCUACCUUGAACUGCAGAAUG